RNAcentral lists this unclassified non-coding RNA (382 nucleotides) under soil metagenome. RNAcentral's name for it is "partial contains 5.8S ribosomal RNA, internal transcribed spacer 2, and large subunit ribosomal RNA". The stretch from base 1 to 120 matches the Rfam family "5.8S ribosomal RNA", at positions 35 to 154 of the family's 154-position model. The record is from RNAcentral.
GAUGAAGAACGUAGCGAAAUGCGAUAAGUAAUGUGAAUUGCAGAAUUCAGUGAAUCAUCGAAUCUUUGAACGCACCUUGCACCCUUUGGCAUUCCGAAGGGUAUGCUCGUUUGAGUGUCAUUGUACUCUCACACUUCUGAUCCUUUGGAUUGGGAGCGGUGGACUUGGGUGUUGCUGCUUUACUGUGGCUCACCUCAAAUGCAUUCGUGCAACUCUUGGUUGGACAUAGUACGGCGUGAUAAGUAUCUUCGCCGGCACCUCGCAAGAGGGUGGCUGAUCAGGAGCUCUGUGCUUUCCAACUGUCUUCAGACAACAACUGACAACUUGACCUCAAAUUGAGUAGGACCACCCGCUGAACUUAAGCAUAUCAAUAAGCGGAGGA